GAUCAUGGCUCAGGAUGAACGCUAGCUACAGGCUUAACACAUGCAAGUCGAGGGCAGCAUGAACUUAGCUUGCUAAGUUUGAUGGCGACCGGCGCACGGGUGAGUAACACGUAUCCAACCUGCCGAUGACUCGGGGAUAGCCUUUCGAAAGAAAGAUUAAUACCCGAUGGCAUAGUUCUUCCGCAUGGUAGAACUAUUAAAGAAUUUCGGUCAUCGAUGGGGAUGCGUUCCAUUAGGUUGUUGGCGGGGUAACGGCCCACCAAGCCUUCGAUGGAUAGGGGUUCUGAGAGGAAGGUCCCCCACAUUGGAACUGAGACACGGUCCAAACUCCUACGGGAGGCAGCAGUGAGGAAUAUUGGUCAAUGGACGAGAGUCUGAACCAGCCAAGUAGCGUGAAGGAUGACUGCCCUAUGGGUUGUAAACUUCUUUUAUACGGGAAUAAAGUGAGGCACGUGUGCCUUUUUGUAUGUACCGUAUGAAUAAGGAUCGGCUAACUCCGUG
This 501-nucleotide ribosomal RNA is filed under the name uncultured bacterium. RNAcentral's name for it is "bacterial SSU rRNA". It matches the Rfam family "Bacterial small subunit ribosomal RNA", at positions 15 to 507 of the family's 1533-position model. The record is from RNAcentral.